This 930-nucleotide long non-coding RNA is filed under the name Callithrix jacchus (white-tufted-ear marmoset). Its description in RNAcentral is "lncRNA (ENSCJAG00000063335.2)". The record is from RNAcentral. Lineage: Eukaryota; Metazoa; Chordata; Mammalia; Primates; Cebidae.
CUUGUCCGAUUCAUGGUCCAUGGGCUGUGUGCAGCCGAGGACAGCUUUGAAUGUGGCCCAAAACAAAUUCCUAAAUUUCUUAAAAUCUGACAUUUUUUGGUAACUUUUUAAGAGCUCAUCAGCUAUCAUUAAUGGUUAGUGUUAGCGUAUUGUAUGUGUGGCCCAAGACAAUUCUUACAGUGUGUGGCACAGGGAAGCCAAAAGAUUGGAAAUGAUUUAUGGUGUAAAACAUGAUGUUUUGAUAUAUGUAUACAUUGUGGGAUGAUUAAAUCAAACCAUUUAACAUAGGGAUUACCUCACAUACUUAUUUUUUGUGGUAAGGACAAAAAUUUUACUCUUUUAACAAUGUUCCAGCAUGCCACAUAUUGCUAUUAACUAUAGUCAUUAUGAACUACAAUACAUCUCUUGAACUUAUUCCUCAUGUCUAAGUAAUAUUUUGUGUCCUUUGACCAACAUUUCCCAAGCCUCUCCACCCUCCAGACUUUCAAUACCAUCAUUUUAUUCUUUGUUUCUAUGAGUUCAAUUUUUUUUACAUUCCACAUGUAUGUAAACAGUAUUUGCCUUUCUGUGCCUGGCUUAGUUCACUUACCAUAAUCUCUUUCAGUUUCAUCCAAGUUAUCACAAGUAACAGGAUUUGAUUCUGUUUGUGACUGAAUAACAUUCCAUUGUGUGUAUAUAUACUACAUUUGUUUUUAUUCAUUUAUCUGUUGACAGACACAGACUGACUCCAUAUCUUGGCUGUUGUAAAGAAUGCUGCAAUGAACAUGUUGAUGAAGAUCCUGACAUUGAUGGCAGGGACAUGGAUGAAUCUGGAAACCAUCAUUCUCAGUAAACCGACACAGGAACAGAAAACCAAACACUGCAUAUUUUCACUUAUAGGCAGGUGACGGACAAUGAGAACACAUGGACAUAGGGAGGGGAACAUCACAC